Molecule: ribosomal RNA, 489 nt
Filed under: uncultured bacterium
Lineage: Bacteria
Description: partial 16S ribosomal RNA
Rfam family: Bacterial small subunit ribosomal RNA
Source: RNAcentral
UUGAACGCUGGCGGCAGGCCUAACACAUGCAAGUCGAACGGUAACAGGAAGAAGCUUGCUUCUUUGCUGACGAGUAGCGGACGGGUGAGUAAUGUCUGGGAAACUGCCUGAUGGAGGGGGAUAACUACUGGAAACGGUAGCUAAUACCGCAUAAUGUCGCAAGACCAAAGAGGGGGACCUUCGGGCCUCUUGCCAUCGGAUGUGCCCAGAUGGGAUUAGCUAGUAGGUGGGGUAACGGCUCACCUAGGCGACGAUCCCUAGCUGGUCUGAGAGGAUGACCAGCCACACUGGAACUGAGACACGGUCCAGACUCCUACGGGAGGCAGCAGUGGGGAAUAUUGCACAAUGGGCGCAAGCCUGAUGCAGCUAUGCCGCGUGUAUGAAGAAGGCCUUCGGGUUGUAAAGUACUUUCAGCGGGGAGGAAGGGAGUAAAGUUAAUACCUUUGCUCAUUGACGUUACCCGCAGAAGAAGCACCGGCUAACUCCGUG